UACGAAGGGGGCUAGCGUUGCUCGGAAUUACUGGGCGUAAAGGGCGCGUAGGCGGACAGUUUAGUCAGAUGUGAAAUUCCCGGGCUUAACCUGGGGGCUGCAUUUGAUACGUGUUGUCUUGAGUUCGGAAGAGGGUCGUGGAAUUCCCAGUGUAGAGGUGAAAUUCGUAGAUAUUGGGAAGAACACCGGUGGCGAAGGCGGCGACCUGGUCCGACACUGACGCUGAGGCGCGAAAGCGUGGGGAGCAAACAGG
Molecule: ribosomal RNA, 253 nt
Filed under: uncultured bacterium
Lineage: Bacteria
Description: partial 16S ribosomal RNA
Rfam family: Bacterial small subunit ribosomal RNA
Source: RNAcentral